GUAGGCAUAUCAUUGGAAGAUUGGCCAUAAGAGACUACAUUUGCCAGGGGUCCGCCCGGUGUCCUUUGUCUAAAUUGGUGCGUAAACUUCAACUGGAGGCAUUUUCCAUUGAGAUUCAGAGGAGAACGCACACUUCCACGAACGAUAUAUCAUCGAAGAGAUAUGUGAAAAACACGUUGAGGAUUGAUUCUAAACAACGUUUACCGUGUUUCAGUCGAUAUUAUGGAGUUAAUUUGGAAAAAAAUUUGACGUUUUGAUGACUGAAUUUUCGGGUUUUUUUGGUAGCCAAACGUGACGCACCAAACGGAGCGAUUUCUCCUAAACAUAUAAUCUUUCAGGAAAAACUGAACAUUUGCUAUCUAACUGAGAGUCUCCUCAUUGAAAACAUCCGAAGUUCUUCAAAGAUCUAUCCGCUGCCUUGGACAUCGUGAACCAUCAGAUCCUCCUCUCGACCCUCUCAGGGGCAUCUCAGGCUCUGCACACUUCUAGGACCUCUCCUCUCUAUACACCAAGUCACUCGGAUCCGUCAUAUCCUCACACGGUCUCUAAUAUCAACAUAUGACUAGGAUGACAAAAACAACAGGUACCCAAGCUAAGCCCUGUUGACAGCAUUGCAGUAUGUGGGUGGGCGCCAUCUUUACUCUCCCAUCUGAAGGGUUUCCACUAGAUGGCACCAGUGCUUCAUUUGAGCUGGAUCCUGCCAGAACAGGAUCCGGAACAUCUCGGAUUUGACUUGGUUUGUUCCGGGACCUAUUUGCCCAGAUCCGGUACCACUCAGAUUUGACUUGGUUUGUUCCGGGACCUAUUUGCCCAGAUCCCGUACCACUCAGAUUUGACUUGGUUUGUUCCGGCAUCUUGACCUCUCACAGCAUGAUUGAUUAAUUAUUUCACUGCUCGCACGGUAGACAUUCUAAUAAAAGCAAUCAGUGUUAAGGUCACAACGUAAUCACUUCACGUAGCCUAGUCUAGUCAUGUCCCUACUGAAUCUGAAGCGUGGGAAAGCCAGAUAAAAAAUGUAUAAGAAAAGGCAAUCGAGUUUGACAUUUUUCAAGCCAAAAAUCCAGAGAAAGAUGGUGAAUUGAAUCCAGAACGAGCCAGAGAACUGUCAGUGCCGGAGGAGAGGAGUGAGGGGGCAAACUGUUCCUGAGGUCGAUGCUAAUCCCGCCAGUUCAGCAUGACCACUGGCACCUCCACUAGCUAAUAGGCCUGCUAGUGAGUUAGACUCAGUGGGAGAGGGAGACGGGGAGCUGGGAGGAGGGGGGCAGUGCAUCCACCUACAAAGCGAAGAUUUAACCCCUGGCUUGUCAUGGGGUUGGGCUGGACAACAUGCAAAAAGGUAUGGCGCUUGUGUCUACAAACAACUGGAGGGAUUCCACUAGCAGAAGAGUGGGUGGAGUGUACAGUAAAUGACUGUCCUAUGCAUCAGACUUACAAACAACUGGAGGGAUUCCACUAGCAGAAGAGUGGGUGGAGUGUACAGUAAAUGACUGUCCUAUGCAUCAGACUUACAAACAACAACAACAAAGAGCCCUCAGUAAAAAGAUUUUGGAACAUGCCUGAACCAAGGCGCAUUUUGUGGCAGCAAGCCUUGUAGACAAGGCUAAAGAGGACACCCAGGUUAACACUCAAGACGAAGAAGAAGGAACAAAAGAUAGAAACUACAGCCAAAGUCUUCAGAACAGCCUUAGAAGGAGGUUAAACAUCAGCCACAGGCCCAGACAGUCUUCAGAACAGCCUUAGAAGGAGGUUAAACAUCACAGCCACAGGCCCAGACAGUCUUCAGAACAGCCUUAGAAGGAGGUUAAACAUCACAGCCACAGGCCCAGACAGUCUUCAGAACAGCCUUAGAAGGAGGUUAAACAUCACAGCCACAGGCCCAGACAGUCUUCAGAACAGCCUUAGAAGGAGAUUAAACAUCACAGCCACAUGCCCGCUCAUGGCUUUGAGCAAGAAGUUGACUCUCAGGAGUUAAAUGGACUUGCAACGGGGAGAGUAAUUGUGGGUGGUUUUGAAAACUAAGGCAGGACAUUAUUCCCUGUAACUUGUAAUCUUGAUGUGCUUCAUAUUACCACAGAGGCAGCAGGCCUAUAUAUUCUCAUGUGUGUGUUCUGCUGUAGCCUACAUUGAUUUAUUUCAUUUGAAGUUAUAUUCCGAUAUUGCGCUAUAUGUUUUACUGCUACAUCGAUGUCUUGAAAAUGAUAUGAAAUUCGGGUCUUGUGAACCCCACAGCGGGUGUUCUGCAGCGUCUUCUUAACAGUUUGUUGUACAUUGAUGUCUAGAAAAUUGGGCUACAUGAAAUUCGGACUUGUGUAAACACCGCUAUACUCAAGUAUGUGGGCAUACUGCAGUGAAUUCUAAAAUACUUUGAAUAAAUUAGCACCUUGGAGUGCUGUCCGUUUCACCUCCAUAGAUAGUAGGCUACUUGGAGAGUGCUGUCUACUAUCUAUGGAGGUGAAACGGACAGCACUCUCCAAGUAGCCUACUAUCUAUGGAGGUGAAACAGGACAGCACUCUUCAAGUAGGUAGUAGGCUACUUGGCUGCCAUGGUGUUUUGGACACUUUUUUCCUCAUUGUGU
Long non-coding RNA from Oncorhynchus tshawytscha (Chinook salmon), 2576 nucleotides. NCBI's taxonomy places the organism in Eukaryota, Metazoa, Chordata, Actinopteri, Salmoniformes, Salmonidae. The record is from Ensembl.